UGGGUCCUACGGGACGCAGCAGUGAGGAAUAUUGGUCAAUGGACGAGAGUCUGAACCAGCCAAGUAGCGUGAAGGAUGACUGCCCUAUGGGUUGUAAACCUCUUUUGUCAGGGAGCAAUUGGCGCUACGUGUAGCGUUAUCGAGAGUACCUGAAGAAAAAGCAUCGGCUAACUCCGUGCCAGCAGCCGCGGUAAUACGGAGGAUGCGAGCGUUAUCCGGAUUUAUUGGGUUUAAAGGGUGCGUAGGCGGAAUGCCAAGUCAGCGGUAAAAUCGCGGGGCUCAACCUCGCUCCGCCGUUGAAACUG
This 305-nucleotide ribosomal RNA is filed under the name uncultured bacterium. RNAcentral describes it as "bacterial SSU rRNA". It matches the Rfam family "Bacterial small subunit ribosomal RNA", at positions 333 to 635 of the family's 1533-position model. The record is from RNAcentral.